GAACUGCGAUAAGUAAUGUGAAUUGCAGAAUUCAGUGAAUCAUCGAGUCUUUGAACGCACAUUGCGCCCCCUGGCAUUCCGGGGGGCAUGCCUGUCCGAGCGUCAUUGCUGCCCUUCAAGCCCGGCUUGUGUGUUGGGUCGUCGUCCCCCCCGGGGGACGGACCCGAAAGGCAGCGGCGGCACCGUGUCCGGUCCUCGAGCGUAUGGGGCUUUGUCACCCGCUCGAUUAGGACCGGCCGGGCGCCCGCUGGCGUCAAACCCCAAUCUUUCUAAGGUUGACCUCGGAUCAGGUAGGGAUACCCGCUGAACUUAAGC
RNAcentral lists this unclassified non-coding RNA (315 nucleotides) under plant metagenome. RNAcentral's name for it is "partial contains 5.8S ribosomal RNA, internal transcribed spacer 2, and large subunit ribosomal RNA". The stretch from base 1 to 105 matches the Rfam family "5.8S ribosomal RNA", at positions 50 to 154 of the family's 154-position model. The record is from RNAcentral.